Molecule: ribosomal RNA, 710 nt
Filed under: uncultured bacterium
Lineage: Bacteria
Description: bacterial SSU rRNA
Rfam family: Bacterial small subunit ribosomal RNA
Source: RNAcentral
AGUCGACGGGACAGGGGCAACUCUGGUUCAGUGGCGGACGGGUGCGUAACACAUGAGGAACAUGACUUUCGGCGGGGGAUAGCCGGCCCAACGGCCGGGUAAUACCGCGUACGACCUCUCGGGGACAUCCCCGGUUGGUGAAAGCAGCAAUGCACCGAAAGAGUGCCUCGCGGCCUAUCAGCUAGUUGGUGAGGUAAUGGCUCACCAAGGCGACGACGGGUAGCUGGUCUGAGAGGAUGUCCAGCCACAUUGGGACUGAGACACGGCCCAGACUCCUACGGGAGGCAGCAGUGGGGAAUAUUGCGCAAUGGGCGAAAGCCUGACGCAGCGACGCCGCGUGUGGGAUGACGGCCUUCGGGUUGUAAACCACUGUCGGGAGGGACGAAUGCGCCGCAAGGCGAGUGACGGUACCUCCAAAGGAAGCACCGGCUAACUCCGUGCCAGCAGCCGCGGUAAUACGGAGGGUGCGAGCGUUGUCCGGAAUCACUGGGCGUAAAGGGCGCGUAGGCGGCCCGAUAAGUAGGGGGUGAAAUCCUGCGGCUUAACCGCAGGGCUGCCUUCUAAACUGUCAGGCUAGAGCACGGUAGAGGCAGAUGGAAUUCCCGGUGUAGCGGUGGAAUGCGUANAGAUCGGGAAGAACAUCAGUGGCGAAGGCGGUCUGCUGGGCCGUUGCUGACGCUGAGGCGCGACAGCGUGGGGAGCAAACAGGA